GCCAUAUAUCAAGAAGUCAACUACCAAUACUAUACAAUUUUGAACAAAUAUGUCUAAAUUUUACCUCACAUCUCUCUUGAAAAGAUGAAAAAUUUGAAGAAAAUCAAAACCAGGAUGAACUACUAUUUCUUCCAUCCAAUGAAAAGGUUAGAAACAAAAUUAAUUAAAAACUCUUAGAACUAGUAGAGGUGAGGUUCUUCUGGAUGAACGUCACACAUUAGUCCCUAAAACCAAUCCAGAUCGGUGAGAUGUCCAACUCCCUCCUCCCUGGUGCCGCCCUUCGACACUAGACUUGCUUGCAUGUCAUCGCCAGCUCCCUCCUCCCUGCCAGCGCUGUUGAUCUACUCAUGUGCUUUUUGCUGCGUUGUAGCCGCUGCUCUACUCCCAGCCAGAUCGGCAACAAAAUCUGCGCUGCAGCGUUGCAGCUGCUCUGCUCUCUUCAGGCGUGAUGAAGGACUCCGGGCGGAGGUAGUCCACGCUGGGUCAUGGCUUCCUUCGCAGUCGCCGUUGCCGGAGACCAUCUCCCCGCCCACCUCACCGGUACCAGACGCCAUACCUGCUUGCCCGCCGCCCCGAUCCUAGUUCGCCGCCGGGGAGGGAGAGGCGGUGCCAUGGGAGUCGCCAGCGCUGGUGGAAGAUCGACAUGGGGAGAGAGGCGGGCGGCGGCGCUGAAAUAAAGAUGGGGAUUGGGCCUUUGGUGGGGUGAGUGAGUCGGGGGGAGAGGCGAGGUGCAAGAG
Molecule: ribosomal RNA, 737 nt
Filed under: Triticum aestivum (bread wheat)
Lineage: Eukaryota; Viridiplantae; Streptophyta; Magnoliopsida; Poales; Poaceae
Description: partial small subunit ribosomal RNA
Source: RNAcentral